CCUGGACAGGCUGCAGAAAGGACAAAGGCCCAAAUGCUGUACAUGCAGCAGCAACAAUCGUGGGAAAGUGCCCAUCACUUUCGUCUUAUCUGACUGAGGAAUCCAAGAUAUGGCAAAUGCAUUCUGAUGAAAAAAUAGGAGUCAAAUAUUUAUGAAGACAAAGGGUCAAGCUAGAAGAAAAGUGCUAGACGGCAACAUGAAGAUACUGGGUACCUGAUGACUUGUUCUUUGGCCUGCAGGGCCUGGCUGAUGCGUGCAACCUCACUGCGCAGCUGCUGCUGCUGGAACCCUGAGCUCCUCACAAAUUGAUCUUGAGCAUCCAGCGUAGCUCUCAAUUCCUCCCUCUCCUCACUCAGAACCUAAUCAGAGGCAAACACAUGAGAUUCGCAGUCUGCAGUAAACUGCUCAGCCAGUUUAUCACUAGAAAGCUGAUUUAAAAAGCAAGCAAGCUCAAUGACAAUCUACCAUGAUACCUGCUGUACUAACAUCUACAAACAGGGCACUAUGAAUAUAUAAUAAAUUCUGUAUACUAACCAAGA
Long non-coding RNA from Pygocentrus nattereri (red-bellied piranha), 539 nucleotides. RefSeq lists it as uncharacterized. The transcript has 2 exons. Lineage: Eukaryota; Metazoa; Chordata; Actinopteri; Characiformes; Serrasalmidae. The record is from RefSeq and is a predicted model, not a curated record.